GUGCUCGCUUCAGCAGCACAUAUACUAAAAUCGGAACGAUACAGAGAAGAUUAGCGUGGUCCCUGCACAAGGAUGACACGCAAAUUCGUGAAACGUUCCACAUUUUU
This 107-nucleotide small nuclear RNA is filed under the name Phocoena sinus (vaquita). Lineage: Eukaryota; Metazoa; Chordata; Mammalia; Artiodactyla; Phocoenidae. The record is from RNAcentral.